RNAcentral lists this ribosomal RNA (473 nucleotides) under uncultured bacterium. Its description in RNAcentral is "bacterial SSU rRNA". It matches the Rfam family "Bacterial small subunit ribosomal RNA", at positions 8 to 526 of the family's 1533-position model. The record is from RNAcentral.
AGGGUUUGAUCAUGGCUCAGGAUGAACGCUGGCGGUAUGCCUUAUACAUGCAAGUCGUACGAGAGUUUUUAACUCAAGUGGCGGACGGGUGAGUAACACGUAAGAAUUUGCCUUUAGGAGGGGGAUAACGACUGUAACCGGUUGCUAAUACCCCAUAUGCUAACAGUGAAAUGGAUUUUCCGCCUAAAGAGAAGCUUGCGGCUGAUUAGCUUGUUGGUGAGGUAAUGGCUCACCAAGGCGACGAUCAGUAUCUGGUUUGAGAGGAUGAUCAGCAACACUGGGACUGAGACACGGCCCAGACUCCUACGGGAGGCAGCAGUGGGGAAUCUUAGACAAUGGGCGAAAGCCUGAUCUAGCGAUGCCGCGUGAGUGAUGAAGGUCUUAGGGUCGUAAAGCUCUUUCGCCAGGGAUGAUAAUGACAGUACCUGGUAAAGAAACCCCGGCUAACUCCGUGCCAGCCGCCGCGGUAAUAC